Oryctolagus cuniculus (rabbit) is the source of this 1190-nucleotide non-coding RNA. The record is from the annotation of a RefSeq genome assembly. Lineage: Eukaryota; Metazoa; Chordata; Mammalia; Lagomorpha; Leporidae.
UUCCAUCUCAGGACAAGGUCAUGGCAGCCGCAUUCACACAAUGACACUGCCAGUUGCAGGGAAGGGAGCCUGCUGUGGGACUGCACACUGCAGAGUGGAACAGGCAAGCAUCACCAAGGGUUCUGCUUCCAACUGCAUUUGCACCAAAGCGCUACAGACUGAGCACUCAGUGCUCCUCACAGCGCUACCUCAGGGCAGGACUUUCUCUCGGCUUCCACAGGAGGGCGCUCAAGGCACUCAAAGGCGGAAGUAGAGACCAGGCUUCUCCUGUCAGCACUCACCUCUUCUGGGUAAAGAGCUUGGGAGUCUUCUAAGAGAGACCCUGCCUGUUACUUCUCCCUGCUGUGACUUCAGUCGGGAAGACUCCCUCCAACUCACCUCCCUCGGUCCCUCUUUUUUGAGUAGGAUUAGAGUUAAGAGGAUAUUCUUCUUCCCUUAUCACCUCAUCCCUUCCCUUCUAAGGCCUGAGAGAAGAAGGCAUGCUGUGGACACUCUCCCUACUUGUAGCUUUCCUGCCUCCUGGCAGUCAAACAUCUUCCAACUCAGAGAAGAUCAUGACAGUGGUCACCAAGCCAACUGGGUCAUCUGUUACAGUCACUUGUAGUAUUCCUCAACAAAGUGGCUACAUCCACUGGUACCGGUUCCAGGAGGGGAAGGCCCCACAGCGCCUUCUCUACUAUGACUUCUCCCGGUCCAGUUCUACAGUGGAUUCAGGAUUCCGUCCUGGGAAAUACCAGGCUUAUGAAGGCUCAGGAAGGAGCUGUAAAUUUGUAGCACGGAAUCUGGAAGAAAGUGACUCUGGAGUGUAUUACUGUGCUAUCUGGAUUGGCACAGUGAUUCACAUCUGCCCUAAAGUAUACUGAGAAUUGUGCUUGUGGUUGUUCCUGGUACUCAAGACAGGCCAUCCCCACCUCACUUCCUGUUUCUGACUGUGCUGUACUCUGAACAAAGAGAAACCCUGAGCCCAACACCUAACCUCAGUGCCCACAUCUCACUCCCCUCCUGAUGCUUCAUACUGCCCCAAGACCCUACCCUUGCACCCUCCACCCCGGGGUUUUCCUAAAGCCCAAAAUCGCAUAUCUAGGUCUUAGCCCAGCCACCUGCUGACAAUACAGUUCUUUCUGCUCUCUUAGGGGCUGGAAGAACAGCAUUUAAUUUGGUUUCUGGGACAAAGUCUCGGGAUGCAUUCU